Molecule: ribosomal RNA, 253 nt
Filed under: uncultured bacterium
Lineage: Bacteria
Description: partial 16S ribosomal RNA
Rfam family: Bacterial small subunit ribosomal RNA
Source: RNAcentral
UACGUAGGUGGCAGGCGUUGUCCGGAUUUACUGGGCGUAAAGAGCGCGCAGGCGGUCGUUCAAGUCGCGUGUGAAAGCCCCCGGCUCAACUGGGGAGGGUCACGCGAUACUGAUCGACUCGAAGGCAGGAGAGGGUAGUGGAAUUCCCGGUGUAGUGGUGAAAUGCGUAGAUAUCGGGAGGAACACCAGUGGCGAAGGCGACUACCUGGCCUGUUCUUGACGCUGAGGCGCGAAAGCUAGGGGAGCAAACAGG